CCGGCAUAAAUCCCCAGAAUUUGCUCCUGGGGAGACUCGAACUCACAACCUCUCGGUUGUAAGUGAGGGUUGGUUACCAUCAGACCAAGCCCCUCUUAAAGUCGCUGGGAAAGGAGUUUGAAGCAAAAGAUUUAAUCAGAGCAUGCAUUAGUUUAGUUUUGUUAUUGUGAAUGAUUUUUAUAUAUGUUAGAAAGCAUUAAUUAUUAAGAGUUGUGAUCGAAAUGGCCAGAACUCUAAAUGCCAUAUUCUAGAUAGUCUUCUUUUGAAGUUUUAAAUGCCAAUAAUUUCCUCUUUUGUGUAUUUUGUAUGUUGGAUAAUUACCACAAAUUUCACUAUUUGUAUAAGGGGUUUUGAGUCAAAUUGUGUUGGGAUUAGUCGAAGUUAGUUAUCAGCCCAAUAAAGAGUUCUAGCAAAUCAUUGAGGGCCUGAUACUUGCAGAAACGAGAUUAUAUACCUGGCUCGUAUUCUUGUAGUUUAAAAAUCAUGAUUUCUUUACCAACUCAGUUCGAACAUUUGGUUCAAAACUGAUUGUAAUUAGUUCUUGAGUUCUAAUUGAUCAAUCUGAUUAUGACCGUUUAUGGUGCUUCUCUUAAUGUUCAAAAAAUGUGUCCGCCCAUUAUUAAUCUCACAAUUUGGACCCUCGCAUGUAAUCUUAAACUGCAGAUUAGUAUUUAAAUUG
Molecule: long non-coding RNA, 679 nt
Filed under: Nicotiana benthamiana
Lineage: Eukaryota; Viridiplantae; Streptophyta; Magnoliopsida; Solanales; Solanaceae
Description: long non-coding RNA (NBEN_LNC023267)
Source: RNAcentral